GUAGGUGGCAAGCGUUGUCCGGAAUUAUUGGGCGUAAAGCGCGCGCAGGCGGUUCUUUAAGUCUGAUGUGAAAGCCCACGGCUCAACCGUGGAGGGUCAUUGGAAACUGGAGAACUUGAGUACAGAAGAGGAAAGCGGAAUUCCACGUGUAGCGGUGAAAUGCGUAGAGAUGUGGAGGAACACCAGUGGCGAAGGCGGCUUUCUGGUCUGUAACUGACGCUGAGGCGCGAAAGCGUGGGGAGCAAACAGGAUUAGAUACCCUGGUAGUCCACGCCGUAAACGAUGAGUGCUAAGUGUUAUGGGGUUUCCGCCCCUUAGUGCUGCAGCUAACGCAUUAAGCACUCCCGCCUGGGAGUACGGCCGCAAGGCUG
This 371-nucleotide ribosomal RNA is filed under the name uncultured organism. RNAcentral describes it as "partial 16S ribosomal RNA". It matches the Rfam family "Bacterial small subunit ribosomal RNA", at positions 527 to 896 of the family's 1533-position model. The record is from RNAcentral.